This 2099-nucleotide long non-coding RNA is filed under the name Daphnia magna. Its description in RNAcentral is "uncharacterized LOC123470546, transcript variant X1". Lineage: Eukaryota; Metazoa; Arthropoda; Branchiopoda; Diplostraca; Daphniidae. The record is from RNAcentral.
GCCUCGGCUAUUAAAGAUUAAUUAAGAAAAUGAAAUAACAUAACGAGGACAAAUCAAAUGUAAGUUUAUACCUUGAAAUCAAGUUUUUGAAUGGCCAGCUGUUCAACGUAAAAAUUCCUUCCACUCUGGUUGAGCUGGAAAUAAAAUUUUAAAAAAACUUAAGCGAAAAAUUCUUAUAAAUUUCAAUGGGAAAUCAGUUAAAUAUCGAAGCACUGCUGAAAUGAAAAAUAGCGAUGAUAUGUAUUGUGAGGAUCUAUAUUCUCAAUCGAUUGUUAAAGAACAUCUUACGUGUGCAGUGAUUUGUGGCGAAGAUCCAACUGGAGUUUGUCUACAUUGCAACAUCAAAAAUGUUCACUUACUUUGUUUAUUAUCUGCUCGACGUCUGGGCCAAUGCGAAGCAUUCUACUCUACAUGGAAAAAGUAUAUGCAACAAACCAGCAUAGGUUACUCUAAAUUAAAUGACCUGGUAAUCAAAUUUCAAGAGCAACGAUAUUUAUUCUACUUACACUAGCAUUUAAUGGUCGGUUAAACUUUUGAAAAAAUCCAGCCAGCGUCGAAUUCAAGUAUUUGAUGCAAGCUUGGUUGUUUUGAUGGGUAUAUUCAGAUAACGGACUCACAAUCUUUUUCAUUUGGGCCUGUGUAUAACUGGCCAUCGUUAAAGCUGUUAGUACAGUUAUUACUUUGAUCCAAAAUUUACGCUCUGCCAUCGCUAUUUCAGGUUUACCUACCACACAAAACGAAGGCAGAGAAACUUAACAUUUCUUGUUUCUUGUUGGAAUUGAACAAAUUAGCUUUUCAAUUAUAUCAACUUACUUUGUGUGGGAUAUUGAAAUUUCACAGUAAUUUUCCGCCUCGCGUUUGGGUCGGGAAGGAUUUUUCAACUGCUGUACGAGCAGCGUGCUGCUCAAACGGCUGUUUAUUAACUGAAAGUUUUCUGCGUUUAGAGACGUGAUUAUUUGAUCGUGUCUGUUUCACCAACUAAAUAUUACGUUUCUCGUUCAACCACUUACAGGGUAAAGGUAUAGUUUUGCAGCUCUAAUGCAAAAGUGAGUGAACCUAACUCCAUAUCAAUAUUACUACAAGAAAAAAAAGUAUCCGAUUCCGAGUGAUAAAAGACGUCAUUGAACAAAGGUAUACCCAACUACGUCUUAAUAACAUGUCAGCUGCGUUAUGAUCGCCGCAGUUGUGGUUGGAAACCAGUCAGUUCUAUGCCGGUCGGAAAUGAUCACAUCAUGAACUUUCUUACGACUAUGAAAGAUGACGGGAAAUUUCUUCUUUAAAAUCGAAUUGCAUUUACAGAGUGUAAAAGAUAUAUGUAAGGUCGAAAAACAGACGUAAAAGAGUUGUUUGCAGUGGCAGUUCCUUGUAUCUCAUUAUAUUGCUAAGUCUGUAGAGGAUACUGAUGACGAUGGGCUAAGUCUUUAUAUGUAUACUGGUUUCGAUCAGAAAUGGAAGUCUUGCUUUUGUUUUUGCCUAUACGUGUCGUUGACCCUAUAGUCACUUACUAAUUAUCUUGGCCUUGGUUUGAUUUCUUCUUGAUUUCCAAGUUUUCCCAUAAAAAAAAGGAUGUCAAUGACUCGCAUUGGCCUUGAUCUUGGAACUGAAAUCCAUUAUCACAGGAGUUUGCAGUAUCCCUUAACGAGCAUACUACUAGGUACGGUAUAAAUACAUUUUCUCUCACUGUGUUUCAGUAUCUCCAACUUGACGGUCUAUCAUCUUAUCAAUCCUUCAAGGUUAAUCACAGCUUUUAUUUCAGUAAAAGAUGUCCAUCGCCAAUUUCGUUGUUUGCUUCUUGGCUGUUGUCAUGACCGUGGCUGGUGAGCCUACCGGAUACAGGCCAGCAAUGGCUCCUAAUUACCAGGCACCUGCUUACAAAGCUCCUACUUACAAGGCUCCUGCUUACCAGCCUCCUGCUUACCAGCCUCCUGCUUACCAGCCUCCUGCUUACAAGGCUCCUGCUUACCAGCCUCCUGCUUACAAGGCUCCUGCUUAUAUGGCCCCUACACCUUCGUAUAAGGCAGCUUCAUCUUACUAGUUUCCUGCCAAGUUAUUUAAAAUCAAAAGCUUGAAUUUCUCAAAAUAAAUUAUUUAGAUGUCUA